This 279-nucleotide ribosomal RNA is filed under the name Salmonella enterica subsp. enterica serovar Typhimurium. RNAcentral describes it as "partial 23S ribosomal RNA". It matches the Rfam family "Bacterial large subunit ribosomal RNA", at positions 1292 to 1572 of the family's 2925-position model. RNAcentral also lists the same sequence under 1 other name. Lineage: Bacteria; Pseudomonadati; Pseudomonadota; Gammaproteobacteria; Enterobacterales; Enterobacteriaceae. The record is from RNAcentral.
GAAUGCUGACAUAAGUAACGAUAAAGCGGGUGAAAAGCCCGCUCGCCGGAAGACCAAGGGUUCCUGUCCAACGUUAAUCGGGGCAGGGUGAGUCGACCCCUAAGGCGAGGCCGAAAGGCGUAGUCGAUGGGAAACGGGUUAAUAUUCCCGUACUUGGUGUUACUGCGAAGGGGGGACGGAGAAGGCUAUGUUGGCCGGGCGACGGUUGUCCCGGUUUAAGCGUGUAGGUGUGUGUUCCAGGUAAAUCCGGUUCACUUUAACACUGAGGCGUGACGACGA